This 507-nucleotide ribosomal RNA is filed under the name uncultured archaeon. RNAcentral's name for it is "bacterial SSU rRNA". It matches the Rfam family "Archaeal small subunit ribosomal RNA", at positions 352 to 859 of the family's 1478-position model. The record is from RNAcentral.
GCAAUGUGAGAAAUCGCGACGGGGGGAUCCCAAGUGCCAUUCUUAACGGGAUGGCUUUUCAUUAGUGUAAAGAGCUUUUGGAAUAAGGGCUGGGCAAGACCGGUGCCAGCCGCCGCGGUAACACCGGCAGCUCUAGUGGUAGCAGUUUUUAUUGGGCCUAAAGCGUCCGUAGCCGGUUUAAUAAGUCUCUGGUGAAAUCCUGUAGCUUAACUGUGGGAAUUGCUGGAGAUACUAUUAGACUUGAGACCGGGAGAGGUUAGAGGUACUCCCAGGGUAGAGGUGAAAUUCUGUAAUCCUGGGAGGACCGCCUGUUGCGAAGGCGUCUAACUGGAACGGUUCUGACGGUGAGGGACGAAAGUUAGGGGCGCGAACCGGAUUAGAUACCCGGGUAGUCCUAACUGUAAACGAUGCGGACUUGGUGUUGGGGUGGCUUUGAGCUGCUCCAGUGCCGAAGGGAAGCUGUUAAGUCCGCCGCCUGGGAAGUACGGUCGCAAGACUGAAACUUAA